RNAcentral lists this long non-coding RNA (1004 nucleotides) under Equus asinus (donkey). Its description in RNAcentral is "lncRNA (ENSEASG00005026474.1)". The record is from RNAcentral. Lineage: Eukaryota; Metazoa; Chordata; Mammalia; Perissodactyla; Equidae.
GUAGAGGAUAUGUUCCCCACUCUCCUUUUUGUUCUUUAAAUUUUGGAUACAUAUGGCUAAAUUGCUCCUUAGACACUACUAAUUGACACCCCACAGCAAUGUUUUCUACCGGUAGAGUCUUUCCAACCCUUUGGAUCUUUACCAAUCCAGUUGUUGCAAAAUUCUCUCUCAAGUACAGUUACAAUUUACGUUUUACAUUUAUUUAAUAUUUUGAAAUCUUUGUUCAUGGAACUGUGAUGGCCCUGCCUCUGUGUACUUCAUUCACAAACGUCCGUUUCAACAUAUUUCACUCUUACAGCUUCGAGAAUUUGUCGGGUCUACUGGUGUGGGCUUUUGCAUGUGCUGUUCUCUCCUUGGAAAGCUCUUUCCUUAGUAAACUACCAUAGUCUGAAUGUGCCCCCACUUCCCUCAGUUCAUUUCUUUAAAUCCUAAUGCUCAAGGCGUCAGGAGAUGGGGCCCUGGGAGAUGAAUAGGAUUAGUGCCUUAUAAAAGAGGCCCCAGAGAGAACCCUCGCUCCUUCCGCGUGUGAGGCUACGGUGAGAAGCCAGCGCUCUGAGGAAGCCAGCCCUUGCCAGACGUGGAAUCUGCAGACGUCUUGAUCUUGAACUUCCCAGCCUCCAGAACUUUCCAAGAUCUCUUUUGGCUUCCUGACGGAUGGUCAGCAGAGGCCACCUGCACCAUAGUGUCAGUCGAGUUGUGGUUAAAGAUGCUUUCAUGGAUUCCAGUUUAGAGGAUCCUGCUGGUCACAGUCCAGAGCUUGGUAACUGGGUAUUAUAGAAGGAACAUCAGAAGAAGACAGCCCUUGAGCCCCAUUGGAAAGGACCUUACCUAGUAUUUGUAACUACUGACACUGCUGCAGAACUAGAAGGCAGUUAAUGUUGGAGCUAUAUCUCAUAGCUUAAGAAGUCUCCACCUGACAUCUGGUCUCGUACAAAUGCUGGAGACCUCCAAAUCAAACUUACUGGGAAGAGAAGACGCUAACAUCUGAGGCAGACAGUUCCUCC